RNAcentral lists this ribosomal RNA (133 nucleotides) under Amborella trichopoda. RNAcentral's name for it is "rRNA 5_8S_rRNA". It matches the Rfam family "5.8S ribosomal RNA". Rfam says of the family: 5.8S ribosomal RNA (5.8S rRNA) is a component of the large subunit of the eukaryotic ribosome. It is transcribed by RNA polymerase I as part of the 45S precursor that also contains 18S and 28S rRNA. Lineage: Eukaryota; Viridiplantae; Streptophyta; Magnoliopsida; Amborellales; Amborellaceae. The record is from RNAcentral.
GACUCUCGACAAUGGAUAUCUUGGCUCUCGCCGUGAUGAAGACCGUAGCGAAAUGCGAUACUUGGUGUGUCGAGUCUUUGAACGCAAGUUACGCUUGAGGCCGUAGGCUGAGGGCAUGCCUGCCUUGGCGUCA